Molecule: transfer RNA, 70 nt
Filed under: Crenidorsum turpiniae
Lineage: Eukaryota; Metazoa; Arthropoda; Insecta; Hemiptera; Aleyrodidae
Description: tRNA-Lys
Source: RNAcentral
CAUUAAAAAGCUUUAAGCAAGCGCUGAUCUCUUAAAUCAGUCAUAGUAUUCUAGCGGUUACUUUUAUUGA